AGAACGAACGCUGGCGGCAGGCCUCAAACAUGCAAGUCUAGGGGGUGUAGCAAUACAUCACCGGCGGACGGGUGCGUAACACGUGGGAAUAUACCUUUUGGUUCGGAACAACGCAGGGAAACUUGUGCUAAUACCGGAUAAGCCCUUACGGGGAAAGAUUUAUCGCCGAAAGAUUGGCCCGCGUCUGAUUAGCUAGUUGGUGAGGUAACGGCUCACCAAGGCGACGAUCAGUAGCUGGUCUGAGAGGAUGAUCAGCCACAUUGGGACUGAGACACGGCCCAAACUCCUACGGGAGGCAGCAGUGGGGAAUAUUGGACAAUGGGCGCAAGCCUGAUCCAGCCAUGCCGCGUGAGUGAUGAAGGCCCUAGGGUUGUAAAGCUCUUUUGUGCGGGAAGAUAAUGACGGUACCGCAAGAAUAACGCCCCGGCUAACUUCGCGCCAGCAGCCGC
This 449-nucleotide ribosomal RNA is filed under the name uncultured bacterium. RNAcentral describes it as "SSU rRNA". It matches the Rfam family "Bacterial small subunit ribosomal RNA", at positions 26 to 518 of the family's 1533-position model. The record is from RNAcentral.